RNAcentral lists this ribosomal RNA (386 nucleotides) under uncultured bacterium. Its description in RNAcentral is "bacterial SSU rRNA". It matches the Rfam family "Bacterial small subunit ribosomal RNA", at positions 28 to 416 of the family's 1533-position model. The record is from RNAcentral.
GACGAACGCUGGCGGCGUGCUUAACACAUGCAAGUCGAGCGGUAAGGCCCUUUCGGGGGUACACGAGCGGCGAACGGGUGAGUAACACGUGGGUGACCUGCCCUCAGCUCUGGGAUAAGCCUGGGAAACCGGGUCUAAUACUGGAUAUGACUCCAUGACGCAUGUUGUGGGGUGGAAAGCCUUGUGCGGCUGAGGAUGGGCCCGCGGCCUAUCAGCUUGUUGGUGGGGGAUGGCCUACCAAGGCGACGACGGGUAGCCGGCCUGAGAGGGCGACCGGCCACACUGGGACUGAGACACGGCCCAGACUCCUACGGGAGGCAGCAGUGGGGAAUCUUGCGCAAUGGGCGAAAGCCUGACGCAGCGACGCCGCGUGAGGGAUGACGGCC